RNAcentral lists this ribosomal RNA (468 nucleotides) under uncultured bacterium. Its description in RNAcentral is "partial 16S ribosomal RNA". It matches the Rfam family "Bacterial small subunit ribosomal RNA", at positions 28 to 507 of the family's 1533-position model. The record is from RNAcentral.
GACGAACGCUGGCGGCGUGCUUAACACAUGCAAGUCGAACGGAAAGGCCCUGCUUUUGUGGGGUGCUCGAGUGGCGAACGGGUGAGUAACACGUGAGUAACCUGCCCUUGACUUUGGGAUAACUUCAGGAAACUGGGGCUCAUACCGGAUAGGAGCUCCUGCUGCAUGGUGGGGGUUGGAAAGUUUCGGCGGUUGGGGCUGGACUCGCGGCUUAUCAGCUUGUUGGUGGGGUUGUGGCUUACCAAGGCUUUGACGGGUAGCCGGCCUUGGAGGGUUACCGGCCACAUUGGGACUGAGAUACGGCCCAGACUCCAACGGGAGGCAGCAGUGGAGAACAUGGCACAAUGGGGGGAAGCCUGAUGCAGCAACGCCGCGUGCGGGAUGACGGCCUUCGGGUUGUAAACCGCUUUCGACGGUGACGAAGCGUGAGUGACGGUAAUGGGUAAAGAAGCACCGGCUAACUACGUG